GAAUAUACUGUCUCCUAAUUAACAAUGUUAGUGGUCAGCAAGUCCAUAGCUUGAAUCGGCUGCUUGAAUACUGUCUAGUUUUGAUGAAGAUUGUAAGAGCGGGUUUGAUUUAUAGACUUAAGGGGAUACGUUGGGGUGUGCUAUUGUGUGUAUAUUGGUAUGAUCCUUGUUUCAAAUACCUUUAUGUUCAUAUGAUUCAUG
This 201-nucleotide long non-coding RNA is filed under the name Capsicum annuum. Its description in RNAcentral is "long non-coding RNA (CANN_LNC022449)". Lineage: Eukaryota; Viridiplantae; Streptophyta; Magnoliopsida; Solanales; Solanaceae. The record is from RNAcentral.